This 102-nucleotide non-coding RNA is filed under the name Oceanobacillus iheyensis. RNAcentral describes it as "TPP sequence". It matches the Rfam family "TPP riboswitch aptamer (THI element)". Rfam says of the family: Vitamin B(1) in its active form thiamin pyrophosphate (TPP) is an essential coenzyme that is synthesised by coupling of pyrimidine and thiazole moieties in bacteria. The previously detected thiamin-regulatory element, thi box was extended, resulting in a new, highly conserved RNA secondary structure, the THI element, which is widely distributed in eubacteria and also occurs in some archaea. Lineage: Bacteria; Bacillati; Bacillota; Bacilli; Caryophanales; Bacillaceae. RNAcentral also lists the same sequence under 1 other name. The record is from RNAcentral.
CGUACGCACUAGGGGAGCUAUAACUAUGGCUGAGAAGGCAAUGCCUGACCCUUAUAACCCGAACUAGAUAAUACUAGCGUGGGGAAGUGUAGUUCGUUGUAU